AAGGCUUUAGCUUAAUUAAAGCGUCUGUUUUGCAUGCAGAAGAUGUGGGUUAAUACCUCGCAAGUUUUA
Molecule: transfer RNA, 69 nt
Filed under: Polynemus dubius (eastern paradise fish)
Lineage: Eukaryota; Metazoa; Chordata; Actinopteri; Polynemidae
Also listed under: 1 other name
Description: tRNA-Ala
Rfam family: tRNA
About the family: Transfer RNA (tRNA) molecules are approximately 80 nucleotides in length. Their secondary structure includes four short double-helical elements and three loops (D, anti-codon, and T loops). Further hydrogen bonds mediate the characteristic L-shaped molecular structure. tRNAs have two regions of fundamental functional importance: the anti-codon, which is responsible for specific mRNA codon recognition, and the 3' end, to which the tRNAs corresponding amino acid is attached (by aminoacyl-tRNA synthetases). tRNAs cope with the degeneracy of the genetic code in two manners: having more than one tRNA (with a specific anti-codon) for a particular amino acid; and 'wobble' base-pairing, i.e. permitting non-standard base-pairing at the 3rd anti-codon position.
Source: RNAcentral